RNAcentral lists this ribosomal RNA (326 nucleotides) under uncultured eukaryote. RNAcentral's name for it is "partial 18S ribosomal RNA". It matches the Rfam family "Eukaryotic small subunit ribosomal RNA", at positions 1470 to 1796 of the family's 1831-position model. The record is from RNAcentral.
CCCUUAGAUGUUCUGGGCCGCACGCGCGCUACACUGAUGAAUUCAACGAGCACUAACCUGUGCCGAAAGGUUCGGGUAAUCUUGUGAAAUUUCAUCGUGAUGGGGAUUGAUUAUUGCAAUUUUUAAUCAUAAACGAGGAAUGCCUAGUAAGCGUGAGUCAUCAGCUCACGUUGAUUACGUCCCUGCCCUUUGUACACACCGCCCGUCGCUCCUACCGAUUGAAUGUGCCAGUGAAAAGCUCGGAUUGGAGAUAGGAGACGGCAACGUAUCCUAUUUCCGAGAAAAUCUUUAAACUUUCCCAUUUAGAGGAAGGAGAAGUCGUAACA